RNAcentral lists this ribosomal RNA (440 nucleotides) under uncultured bacterium. RNAcentral's name for it is "bacterial SSU rRNA". It matches the Rfam family "Bacterial small subunit ribosomal RNA", at positions 338 to 795 of the family's 1533-position model. The record is from RNAcentral.
CCUACGGGUGGCAGCAGUGGGGAAUCUUAGACAAUGGGGGCAACCCUGAUCUAGCCAUGCCGCGUGAUCGAUGAAGGCCUUAGGGUUGUAAAGAUCUUUCAGUUGGGAAGAUAAUGACGGUACCAACAGAAGAAGCCCCGGCUAACUCCGUGCCAGCAGCCGCGGUAAUACGGAGGGGGCUAGCGUUAUUCGGAAUUACUGGGCGUAAAGCGCACGUAGGCGGACUGGAAAGUUAGAGGUGAAAUCCCAGGGCUCAACCUUGGAACUGCCUUUAAAACUAUCAGUCUAGAGAUCGAGAGAGGUGAGUGGAAUUCCGAGUGUAGAGGUGAAAUUCGUAGAUAUUCGGAGGAACACCAGUGGCGAAGGCGGCUCACUGGCUCGAUACUGACGCUGAGGUGCGAAAGCGUGGGGAGCAAACAGGAUUAGAUACCCUAGUAGUC